Molecule: ribosomal RNA, 474 nt
Filed under: uncultured bacterium
Lineage: Bacteria
Description: partial 16S ribosomal RNA
Rfam family: Bacterial small subunit ribosomal RNA
Source: RNAcentral
GAUGAACGCUAGCGGCAGGCCUAACACAUGCAAGUCGAGGGAGGAGCCUUCGGGCUUCGACCGGCGUACGGGUGCGUAACGCGUAUACAAUCUGCCUUUCACAUAGGGAUAGCCCGAAGAAAUUUGGAUUAAUACCUAAUGGUAUAUAGAUGUGGCAUCACCUUUAUAUUAAAGCUGAGGCGGUGAAAGAUGAGUAUGCGUUCUAUUAGCUAGUUGGAGAGGUAACGGCUCCCCAAGGCGACGAUAGAUAGGGGUUCUGAGAGGGAUAUCCCCCACACUGGUACUGAGAUACGGACCAGACUCCUACGGGAGGCAGCAGUGAGGAAUAUUGGACAAUGGUCGGAAGACUGAUCCAGCCAUGCCACGUGCAGGAAGACGGCCUUAUGGGUUGUAAACUGCUUUUGCAGGGGAAGAAUAAGGACUACGCGUAGUUUGAUGACGGUACUCUGCGAAUAAGCAUCGGCUAACUCCGUG